Molecule: ribosomal RNA, 253 nt
Filed under: uncultured bacterium
Lineage: Bacteria
Description: partial 16S ribosomal RNA
Rfam family: Bacterial small subunit ribosomal RNA
Source: RNAcentral
UACGUAGGUGGCAAGCGUUAUCCGGAUUCAUUGGGUUUAAAGGGUGCGUAGGCGGAAUGAUAAGUCAGUGGUGAAAUCUCGGAGCUUAACUCCGAAACUGCCAUUGAUACUGUCAAUCUUGAGUACAUUUGAUGUGGGCGGAAUGUGUCAUGUAGCGGUGAAAUGCUUAGAUAUGACACAGAACACCGAUUGCGAAGGCAGCUCACAAAACUGUUACUGACGCUGAGGCACGAAAGCGUGGGUAUCAAACAGG